UUAAUUGCUUAGUGCUAACUACUUUUAAAAUUAGAACUUUGACUUUUUGAAAUCCUUAGAUAUAGUCUCUAAAAGUAAUUGAUAAGUAUAAUCCUAACUGGAGACAGAGAAGGUGUCAUUUGGCUUUUUUCAUUGCCCUGAUAAACUUGCUGUUUGUUCUCUUCCUAGUACUCUUGUCCAUCUGUUCUCUGUUGUGUGAUCCCAAUCCAGAUGAUCCUUUAGUGCCUGAGAUUGCACGGAUCUACAAAACAGAUAGAGAAAAGUACAACAGAAUAGCUCGGGAAUGGACUCAGAAGUAUGCGAUGUAAUUAAAGAAAUUAUUGGAUAACCUCUACAAAUAAAGAUAGGGGAACUCUGAAAGAGAAAGUCCUUUUGAUUUCCAUUUGACUGCUUUCUAUGAGCCCACGCCUCAUCUUCCCCUGUGCACAUGUUUACCUGAUACAGCAGUGCUGCGUGUUGUACAUACUUGGAACAACAAAAUAGAAAUACUGUAUUUCCCGUACCAACAUUGACUCCUAGCAAAGAAGUGUGUGUGUGAAAAGCCAGUUCUUCAGUCAUAACCUAGUUGUGAGACUAAAAGCUUUCCUUAUUGACUUAAUUGGAUAAACAAUGCAAGGGCAGGGGUGGGUGUUGUGUGGUUUGGGGUGGGGGAGGACAGUUAUACUGACCUGUGGGAGAAUUUUUUAAAAAAGCGGAAUCCUUUUAAACUCAUAACAGUUAUGAAAAGCAAGGUGAAGAACGUCAAGCUGUUUCUGUAUUCAUUUUAUUCUGAAGGACCUACAUCUUAGGUAAAUGUUUCGACCAACAAGAUUAAACUAUACCCACAUCCUGUAUUUUAAGGUCUAAGUUUAACUGGUCAACAUUUAAAUGGAUUGGAGCUAUUAGUACAUAAAGUGAUGGGUGUUUUUUUUUCCAGCUCUUCUCCAUCACCCCCUUCUCCCCCCAAUACUUUUUGGUUUGUAUGUGGUUUCUCAGUUAAUACAUAGCUAAUAGCUCUUAAUUUUUCUUAUGUUUUUUAACUGCUUAGGUCUAUCUGGAUGUAAGGGUAAAAAUUCAUUUGACAGAAAUACUUGUGUAUAUUUAAAGACCCAAUUGCUCCUCUGGAGCUUGUACGUUCAAGAAUGAUUAAUCUGUGUAAUAAACUGAUUACUACAGUCAUUACAUAUAAUUUUGUGUGAAUAGGCUUUUUUAAUUUCCAGAACAGUUUGUCUAGCUGAGAUUAGUGGUGGAUUCCACACCCUCCUGUCCCCACCCCCAACUUCUGCAUUCAGACCAGUUACAUUUCAAAAUCAUGAAACAAUCACAGGUGACAUUGUGAAAGGCUAUGUGUUAAAGUAAUUUGACCAACUAAAAUAGGAACAUAAGCUUAAAGGCACCUCAAUAAGAUUUAAGCGUGUAGUGUGCAAGGAACAUGACUGUUAAACAAAAUAAGAGGUUUACUUUAUUAAUGAGAAUCUUAAGCAACACGUCAUGAGCCCAUGUGUGGGAUAUAAGACACAAAUGCAUUUAUAUUGUUAGUAAGUUAACCUCUGUAACUAAAUAUCAAAUGUAUAAAGGGUAAAAUUUAACAAACCUGAAAGGCGUCAGCACAACUUCAUAAUGAAGAAAUCUACAUUAUUACUUUGCACUAACAUUUGCAAGAUGUUCAUCCAGUUUAAAAUUGUACUUGUAUGUGGCUUUUUGAGUCUUCACUUGACUAGUAAAAAGAUGUAGUUGGAAACUUUAUUUGUUAACCAGUGUCUUUGCCAGAAACCUUCAUGUGAACUAGGUGAGUUAUAAGGUUUUUUUUCCCUGAUCUAAUCAACACCUUUAGACUUGAGGUUUGGUCCUAUCCAUCUUCCAAAUGCAUCUCUACUCUCUUGCACAAAAACUGAGGAAUAAAUGUCCACUGCUUUUGGUUUAAAUUUG
This is a long non-coding RNA of Gracilinanus agilis (Agile Gracile Mouse Opossum), 1908 nucleotides long. RefSeq lists it as uncharacterized. The record is from RefSeq and is a predicted model, not a curated record. The transcript has 2 exons. Lineage: Eukaryota; Metazoa; Chordata; Mammalia; Didelphimorphia; Didelphidae.